Molecule: long non-coding RNA, 826 nt
Organism: Corythoichthys intestinalis (scribbled pipefish)
Lineage: Eukaryota; Metazoa; Chordata; Actinopteri; Syngnathiformes; Syngnathidae
Exons: 4
Source: RefSeq, a predicted model, not a curated record
GUGUUGAACUGCAGUCUAUCUGGUUCAGAUAUGAAUUAAGCGUGGGUGUAGUUUAUUUUCAUUGCGCUCGCUAACUCUUAACACCGCCAGUAGUUAUAAUUAGGCCGUUAAGCAAUGUAGCUAGCUGUGCAUGCAAACUAACACGAUGGGGUUUCUCUAAUGCUGGACGGUUUCUAUGAUGCUAUUCUAGUUGUAAUUAUGUUAGUGCUUAAGUAACUUUAUUUUAUUAAUUUAGUUAAGUAUUAUCUCUAUUUGUUAGGUAGUUUAAAACUUUAUAAGGUCGAGCGGACGCGCCGGCGCGUCCGAGCACAUAACUUUUUUUUGUAAGACAACACAGGCAAGAUCUAGCCUGGUAGUUUCCAUUCAAACUUCUGUCAAAAGUGCGAAAUCUCAACUAUAUGACAGUUUAUGAGUGGUCUCAAUUGGCAAAGUUAAACCAUAUUUAUGAUAAGUCGAUCACUCCAUUUGGAAGGCUGCCGUAGUCACAUUUUGAUAUUCAUCUCAUCUCUGUUCCUCUCUGUCCUUUUUUCAGGAUCCCAUCAUGUUCUAUGUUUUUUCAGGAGGUUCACUUGACCAUGCAGACUUUUGGAUUCCUCUAAGUUCCCAUGUUUGAGGAAGCAUUUGGCGUGUUGCUGUGCAAAGUGUUGCUGCAGUGGAGGUUCAAGGUUACUGUUUAUUGAUAUGGAUCCCAUCAUACUUUGUUCAUUGUUUGUUCAGGAGUUUGCCCUAAGUCUCCGUGUUUGAGGGCCUAUUCUGUGGAUAUAUUUAUUUGCACUUUUAUUGAUGCAGUAAAUAAAUAGUCUAUGAAAAAAUCAUUAAAUCUGUC